UUAAGCGACUAAGCGUACACGGUGGAUGCCCUGGCAGUCAGAGGCGAUGAAGGACGUGCUAAUCUGCGAAAAGCGUCGGUAAGGUGAUAUGAACCGUUAUAACCGGCGAUGUCCGAAUGGGGAAACCCAGUGUGAUUCGUCACACUAUCGUUAACUGAAUACAUAGGUUAACGAGGCGAACCGGGGGAACUGAAACAUCUAAGUACCCCGAGGAAAAGAAAUCAACCGAGAUUCCCCCAGUAGCGGCGAGCGAACGGGGAGCAGCCCAGAGUCUGAAUCAGCUUGUGUGUUAGUGGAACGGUCUGGAAAGUCCGACGGUACAGGGUGAUAGUCCCGUACACCAAAAUGCACAGGCUGUGAACUCGAAGAGUAGGGCGGGACACGUGGUAUCCUGUCUGAAUAUGGGGGGACCAUCCUCCAAGGCUAAAUACUCCUGACUGACCGAUAGUGAACCAGUACCGUGAGGGAAAGGCGAAAAGAACCCCGGCGAGGGGAGUGAAAAAGAACCUGAAACCGUGUACGUACAAGCAGUGGGAGCACCUUCGGGUGUGACUGCGUACCUUUUGUAUAAUGGGUCAGCGACUUAUAUUCUGUAGCAAGGUUAACCGUAUAGGGGAGCCGCAGGGAAACCGAGUCUUAACUGGGCGUUAAGUUGCAGGGUAUAGACCCGAAACCCGGUGAUCUAGCCAUGGGCAGGUUGAAGGUUGGGUAACACUAACUGGAGGACCGAACCGACUAAUGUUGAAAAAUUAGCGGAUGACUUGUGGCUGGGGGUGAAAGGCCAAUCAAACCGGGAGAUAGCUGGUUCUCCCCGAAAGCUAUUUAGGUAGCGCCUCGUGAACUCAUCUUCGGGGGUAGAGCACUGUUUCGGCUAGGGGGUCAUCCCGACUUACCAACCCGAUGCAAACUACGAAUACCGAAGAAUGUUAUCACGGGAGACACACGGCGGGUGCUAACGUCCGUCGUGAAGAGGGAAACAACCCAGACCGCCAGCUAAGGUCCCAAAGUCAUGGUUAAGUGGGAAACGAUGUGGGAAGGCACAGACAGCCAGGAUGUUGGCUUAGAAGCAGCCAUCAUUUAAAGAAAGCGUAAUAGCUCACUGGUCGAGUCGGCCUGCGCGGAAGAUGUAACGGGGCUAAACCAUGCACCGAAGCUGCGGCAGCGACACUAUGUGUUGUUGGGUAGGGGAGCGUUCUGUAAGCCUGCGAAGGUGACCUGUGAGGGUUGCUGGAGGUAUCAGAAGUGCGAAUGCUGACAUAAGUAACGAUAAAGCGGGUGAAAAGCCCGCUCGCCGGAAGACCAAGGGUUCCUGUCCAACGUUAAUCGGGGCAGGGUGAGUCGACCCCUAAGGCGAGGCCGAAAGGCGUAGUCGAUGGGAAACAGGUUAAUAUUCCUGUACUUGGUGUUACUGCGAAGGGGGGACGGAGAAGGCUAUGUUAGCCGGGCGACGGUUGUCCCGGUUUAAGCAUGUAGGCUGGUUGUCCAGGCAAAUCCGGAUAAUCAAGGCUGAGGUGUGAUGACGAGGCACUACGGUGCUGAAGUAACAAAUGCCCUGCUUCCAGGAAAAGCCUCUAAGCAUCAGGUAACAUUAAAUCGUACCCCAAACCGACACAGGUGGUCAGGUAGAGAAUACCAAGGCGCUUGAGAGAACUCGGGUGAAGGAACUAGGCAAAAUGGUGCCGUAACUUCGGGAGAAGGCACGCUGGUGUGUAGGUGAAGUCCCUGCGGAUGGAGCUGAGACCAGUCGAAGAUACCAGCUGGCUGCAACUGUUUAUUAAAAACACAGCACUGUGCAAACACGAAAGUGGACGUAUACGGUGUGACGCCUGCCCGGUGCCGGAAGGUUAAUUGAUGGGGUUAUCCGUAAGGAGAAGCUCUUGAUCGAAGCCCCGGUAAACGGCGGCCGUAACUAUAACGGUCCUAAGGUAGCGAAAUUCCUUGUCGGGUAAGUUCCGACCUGCACGAAUGGCGUAAUGAUGGCCAGGCUGUCUCCACCCGAGACUCAGUGAAAUUGAACUCGCUGUGAAGAUGCAGUGUACCCGCGGCAAGACGGAAAGACCCCGUGAACCUUUACUAUAGCUUGACACUGAACAUUGAGCCUUGAUGUGUAGGAUAGGUGGGAGGCUUUGAAGCGUGGACGCCAGUCUGCGUGGAGCCAACCUUGAAAUACCACCCUUUAAUGUUUGAUGUUCUAACGUUGGCCCCUGACCGGGGUUGCGGACAGUGUCUGGUGGGUAGUUUGACUGGGGCGGUCUCCUCCCAAAGCGUAACGGAGGAGCACGAAGGUUAGCUAAUCCUGGUCGGACAUCAGGAGGUUAGUGCAAUGGCAUAAGCUAGCUUGACUGCGAGCGUGACGGCGCGAGCAGGUGCGAAAGCAGGUCAUAGUGAUCCGGUGGUUCUGAAUGGAAGGGCCAUCGCUCAACGGAUAAAAGGUACUCCGGGGAUAACAGGCUGAUACCGCCCAAGAGUUCAUAUCGACGGCGGUGUUUGGCACCUCGAUGUCGGCUCAUCACAUCCUGGGGCUGAAGUAGGUCCCAAGGGUAUGGCUGUUCGCCAUUUAAAGUGGUACGCGAGCUGGGUUUAGAACGUCGUGAGACAGUUCGGUCCCUAUCUGCCGUGGGCGCUGGAGAAUUGAGGGGGGCUGCUCCUAGUACGAGAGGACCGGAGUGGACGCAUCACUGGUGUUCGGGUUGUCAUGCCAAUGGCACUGCCCGGUAGCUAAAUGCGGAAGAGAUAAGUGCUGAAAGCAUCUAAGCACGAAACUUGCCCCGAGAUGAGUUCUCCCUGAGACUUUAAGUCUCCUGAAGGAACGUUAAAGACGAUGACGUUGAUAGGCCGGGUGUGUAAGCGCAGCGAUGCGUUGAGCUAACCGGUACUAAUGAACCGUGAGGCUUAACCUU
RNAcentral lists this ribosomal RNA (2900 nucleotides) under Klebsiella pneumoniae. Its description in RNAcentral is "23S ribosomal RNA". It matches the Rfam family "Bacterial large subunit ribosomal RNA". Lineage: Bacteria; Pseudomonadati; Pseudomonadota; Gammaproteobacteria; Enterobacterales; Enterobacteriaceae. The record is from RNAcentral.